CUCAGAACGAACGCUGGCGGCGUGCCUAACACAUGCAAGUCGAGCGCGAACGUCCCUUCGGGGAUUAGUAGAGCGGCGCACGGGUGAGUAACACGUGGCUAACCUGCCCUUCAGUUCGGAAUAACCCGGGGAAACUCGGGCUAAUGCCGGAUACGUUCCUUGGAGGAAAGUGGGGGCUCUCUUCGGAGACCUCAUGCUGAAGGAUGGGGCCGCGGUCCAUCAGGUAGUUGGUGGGGUAAUGGCCUACCAAGCCUAAGACGGAUAGCUGGUCUGAGAGGAUGAUCAGCCACACUGGAACUGAGACACGGUCCAGACUCCUACGGGAGGCAGCAGUGGGGAAUCUUGCGCAAUGGGCGAAAGCCUGACGCAGCAACGCCGUGUGUGCGAUGAAGGCCCUCGGGUCGUAAAGCACUGUCAGUAGGGAAGAUGGUUUGCUUCACGAAUAGUGGAGUGAAUUGACGGUACCUGUGGAGGAAGCACCGGCUAACUCUGUGCCAGCAGCCGCGGUAAGACAGAGGGUGCAAGCGUUGUUCGGAAUUAUUGGGCGUAAAGCGCGCGUAGGCGGCCAUGUAAGUCGGAUGUGAAAGCCCGGAGCUCAACUUCGGAAGUGCAUCCGAAACUGCAUGGCUUGAAUCCUGGAGGGGGCAGUGGAAUUCCCGGUGUAGAGGUGAAAUUCGUAGAUAUCGGGAGGAACACCAGUGGCGAAGGCGACUGCCUGGACAGUGAUUGACGCUGAGGUGCGAAAGCGUGGGUAGCAAACAGGAUUAGAUACCCUGGUAGUCCACGCCGUAAACGAUGAGUACUAGGUGUUGCGGGUAUUGACCCCCGCAGUGCCGUCGCUAACGCAUUAAGUACUCCGNCUGGGAAGUACGGCCGCAAAGGCUAAAACUCCAAGGAAUUGACGGGGGCCCGCACAAGCGGUGGAGUAUGUGGUUUAAUUCGACGCAACGCG
RNAcentral lists this ribosomal RNA (952 nucleotides) under uncultured organism. RNAcentral describes it as "bacterial SSU rRNA". It matches the Rfam family "Bacterial small subunit ribosomal RNA", at positions 23 to 963 of the family's 1533-position model. The record is from RNAcentral.